CCUACGGGAGGCAGCAGUGGGGAAUUUUGGACAAUGGGCGCAAGCCUGAUCCAGCAAUGCCGCGUGCAGGAUGAAGGCCUUCGGGUUGUAAACUGCUUUUGUACGGAACGAAACGGUGAGCUCUAAUACAGUUUGCUAAUGACGGUACCGUAAGAAUAAGCACCGGCUAACUACGUGCCAGCAGCCGCGGUAAUACGUAGGGUGCGAGCGUUAAUCGGAAUUACUGGGCGUAAAGCGUGCGCAGGCGGUGAUGUAAGACAGAUGUGAAAUCCCCGGGCUCAACCUGGGACCUGCAUUUGUGACUGCAUCGCUAGAGUACGGUAGAGGGGGGAUGGAAUUCCGCGUGUAGCAGUGAAAUGCGUAGAUAUGCGGAGGAACACCGAUGGCGAAGGCAAUCCCCUGGACCUGUACUGACGCUCAUGCACGAAAGCGUGGGGAGCAAACAGGAUUAGAUACCCUGGUAGUCCACGCCCUAAACGAUGUCAACUGGUUGUUGGGUCUUCACUGACUCAGUAACGAAGCUAACGCGUGAAGUUGACCGCCUGGGGAGUACGGCCGCGAAGGUUGAAACUCAAAUGAAUUGACGGG
Molecule: ribosomal RNA, 588 nt
Filed under: uncultured bacterium
Lineage: Bacteria
Description: bacterial SSU rRNA
Rfam family: Bacterial small subunit ribosomal RNA
Source: RNAcentral